This is a long non-coding RNA of Cygnus olor (mute swan), 26424 nucleotides long. RefSeq lists it as uncharacterized. NCBI's taxonomy places the organism in Eukaryota, Metazoa, Chordata, Aves, Anseriformes, Anatidae. The record is from RefSeq and is a predicted model, not a curated record. The transcript is spliced from 2 exons.
GGAGGUCCAGGAGCAGCUGUAUCACUGACGCAGUCAUGACUCUGCACCUGCUGCAGUGAACCAUGGUUGCACCCUUAUAAGAAGUUAAUGUUUGCUGCUGUUCUCUAAGGAAAGACAGAAUAAAGUGAAAACACUUCCCAUUUGGAAGGACCAAGCAACACAAGAGCAGACAAUUCAGGCCUAGGAUAUGUUAAAAGAUACUGUGUUUCAAGUAAGUCCAGGGUAUGAUCUCAAGCAGAAGGAAGCACCAGCACAUACUUCCUGUGCUUGUGUGUUAUUAAAGGAAACUCCAACUGAUAAGAUAGUGAAACUGAAGAAUCUGCAUUAAAAGCCUAAAAACAUUAACAUGUUUUUAUAGGCAAAAAUGUCUUAACUGAUGACAGGGAACAUGCCUUUUAACUACAUUCUGCUUCUUACGUUGCACAGUGGGUAAAAUGGACCCAGUUUUCUAUUUCCUGCUGCUCUAGGCAGGGGACUGAGCUUGCAGGCAGGUAUUUCAGGCAGCUUCUCCUCCGUGCACACAAGUGCUGCAGUACUGCAUCCUAUACUGCACACAACACAGAAGAAUGAGAAGAAAGAGGGUCCCUUUCUGCUAAUAGCAUAUUUAGCGUUUUAUCUAGCAUGGUACCAUACCUAUUGGCUCUUCACAACCAGCUGCACUCUGCGUGACUUUGCUAGACCCAGGGAGGGGCAGAGGAAGUCUUUCUUCCUCUCAGCCUCAUGUCUGCAGAACUAUUGCCUGCCAGGUUUCUCUCCCAGGAAAAGCGCUUUGUGAUUCUGCAGAGCUGCUGCCCUUUUCCCAGGACCUCCUCACCCUCUGGCAUAUUGGACAGACCCCAGCAUCCCCCACCAAGCAGGACUUCACACUAAGCAGCCUGUGUAGGUCCAGAAUUGGUCUACCCUCCUUUUACAGCUGAACAGUACUGCUCUGCCUCAGCAGGGUCAGGGCUCUUCACAUCUGCACUGAAAGCAACAGGAUGUGGUCUCCUUGCUCAGAUGGAGUAAAGCUCUUUGAGGGGGUCUUCUAGCAAACAGCACAGACAUUAGCCAGCUCCACUGCAAGCCAAUGCUAAAUAGAAAAAAAAAAAAAAAAAAAAAAAAAAGAACAGUUCCUGGUGGGAGGUAAAGGGUGAGUAAGGCAAGGAACUACACAAAAUGCUGCCAACCUCCAUUCUUUGAUUUAUUUUUAAACUUCAAGUGGGAUAGGAUAAAAUUCACACCUAUUUUAAGGCUCCUUUCUGCUGCCAGAACCAGCUAAAGGGACCUUAAAGUAAAUGAGCAUCAGGGCUAGAGAUGUUAUUGCUGCUUUUUGCAGCAAACACAAAAUGAAGGGAUCCUUUGCCACUUUAUAAAUAAAUCUGGGCAAACCUAUGAAUAGGCUUGAAAACACUUCAACAUCUGAGUAACUCUAUACCACAGAAGACCCCUCAGAUUUUAUAAGAAGGAUCACGUGUGCUGAAGUGCUUUCAUAAACACAGAGUGCAGAACUAAACUUUAGUCUUUAUCAUUAUCUUUGUUUUGGGGGAAGAAAAAAGUGUUUCUGUUUUCUGGGCAAACUGCUGCUUUUUGAAAAUUGAUUAAAAGAAAGCCACGUGAGGUUCGCACACAAAAAAUAUGCGAAAUUUUGCAUGUCCUGAGUUAAAAAUAAAUAAAUACUCAUUUAGGAUUAACAUGUAGAAACUUUUCAGUUUGUAGCUGGGACAUUUCAGAUGGUCCUAAAAAAAAGUGCCUAAUACUUUUUCAUUGCAGAUUUAUCAACAAAAGCACUUCAAAAUAAUCUAUAAUCCUAACUGAUGAAAAACUCAAUAGCUGUACAGCAGUCAUAGGAAUGAUAUAAAUUAACAGCAGCUGAGAAUUAAAACUAAGCAAAUAUUAUAAAUUAUAUUCCCACGGGAUAUAUUCGCAAUAUUUAUUUUCACCAGAAAUUUGGGAUAACUAGAAAUUUGGGAUAACUAGUAUGAGGGCAGGAGAUGGAAUUAAGACAAACUUAUAGCAGGCAGAUACAAGAAUACAAUAUUGUGUUCUGCAAUGUUGCAGACGUAGGAAAGAGGGGUAAGGACAAACAUCAAAGUUUGUCAACUCUGCUAUUAUACAGAGCCUGUCUUAAGGAAACAAUAAGAAAAGCAUACGAAUGCUGAAAUAUUUUCUCAGCUAACCUGAAAUUAAAUUUCAAAAAUAAUUUCAAAACCAGAAUUUUCUGAUUCCACUUAUACAAUGUAAGAGCUUAAUUUUCCUAGAGAAAAAUAAAAAUGCAGAGAAAAACAGAAAUUUCCCUCAAGAAAUAUUACAUUUAUGGAAGCAACAUUUGUUACAAAUGAUAUCUGAAAUUUCACAAAACCAUAAACCUGGAGUAGAACAUGAACCAAAGGCACCAAUUCAAAUUCAUUUUGCCAAGUACACACUUCUUGCAAACUUAAAAUAAAUACCUAGAAAUAUCAAGAAUUUAUCAAGCAGAAGAAAGGCAUUUCUAUCAAUUGCACCGUAUUUUAAAUGACAUCCUCAGUCUUCAUAGGAAUACUUUAACUACAGUAACCCACUUGUUCGACUACAGCUAACAACGCCUUUGCUGCUCUGUGGUUUCUCUCAUGCUGUUUACUUCUGUUUUUCUUCUACAGAACCCUACUCAAAAGGAAGAGGGUGCAGCAUACUGUGGUUUAGAGCUUAAGCACUUCCAAAUGGUGAAACUGUGUUACCAUAGCACCCACAUGCUCAAGCAAUCAGACCUAUCUCAGUGCUAAACCACAACUUCUCUAGUGCAGUCAUGAAAUUUCCCUAUUAAACUCCUUUUCACCAAAUUUGCAUUUAUAAUUAUUUUUAGUUGUACAAAUUCAUUAAUAUGAUACAGUCAAGGCUGCUUUGCAGGGAGAAUGUGCAAUGAUGUGAAUUGUCUGCAAGAGGGGAGAAUAUCAAAUCCUGAUGUAACAGUUAAUUCAGCUGUGAAACGUUGGCUACCAUUCACAGUCAUUAAGAAACACGUAACAUGUAUAUAUACAUGUAUACAUAUAUAUGUAUACAUGUAUACAUAUAUAUAUACAACAUGUAUAGCAUGAGGAAUGUAAGAUUGGCUGUCAUACUUGCUUGGUAAUUUUGUGAUACGUGCAAAAGAAAAAACGUGCUAAUGUUGCUUUGCCUUUUGUAUAUUUUCAGUGUUUGUGCACGUACAGAGCCAAGAGCCAGAGUACAUGUGCUAAACUUACCAUAUAUCAAGCAGCAGUACCUAACCUCAGGUAUGACUCUUCUAGCUCCAAAUCUACCAUGAGCAGAAAGAAACACUUGAUCGAAACUGUCAGCUUAAUGAUACAGACAGGCUGGUUCUGGAAUUGCUGAGUGCAUACUGUUUAUGGCAAACAGAAGAAAGGAAGGACAUGCAACAAUUACACUCUCUUCUCAAUUUCUGUGCCCAUGUUUUUGCAAUUGCCUCCUCUACUAGUUCUAUGUAUUCAGCAUAGUUGAAGGCAGAUCAGUUCCCAAGAUUUUUGACCACAGAAAGAAGCUGCAACUGAGAACUGGCUGACUACUGGCGAGAGUGUGAGCUAUGGGCAAAACUUCUUUGUCUUGGACUAUCUCAUUGGACCUUGGCUUAUUUAAAUAUCUGACUUACUUCUCUAUCCACCUCUGAGCUGCUUCAAGAUAAAAGUGUUAUGCUGUAUUGCAGACAUCUCCUGACUACAAAUUGCUUUUUACAUAAUUUUGCCAGCAAUAAAAAAUGAAUGGGUCCUGGAAAUGUUUCUCUAAACUUUCUCUAAUCAGCUCAAAUGACAAACCAUAAACAGUUUAAAUUCAUACUGUAUGAAUUGCAGCAUUUGAGCCACUGAUAAUGUAAAAUCAACCAAAAUCAUAAAUCUCCCAUUUGUUAUAGGUCUGUUAGCAGGAAGUACUUCGAUCAACAGCUCUGUAUCUACAAGAACUAUUAUUUCAGUGAGGUAAAAUCAGUGAGUUUUAAUCAGUGAAUUAAAAAAAAAAUGCAGCUAGCAAUUUUUAAAAAUAAAUGAACAUUUCUUUCAAGAAAUUAUACCCAUCUACGAGUUUUCACUCUAUGUAAUAAUAUUUUUCUCUGAGCAGUUGCUGUGUUAAAGACCCAAACAAAUAUAAUGCGGCUAACUGUCCUAGGGGUUCUGAGGGAGGAGUGUAGCUUACAGAGAUAAAUAAUUUUCAGGUGCUCUGAACAUUUAUGUCUCCAACUGGCAUCACCUGGAUUGCAAACACUCAGCUCUCCUACAAAAUAGGAUCAAAGUACAAUCAAAAAUGGAAAGAAAGCUCACAGGCUGUGAAAAGACACAAUAAUAUUUCCUUUAAUUUUAUUUUUUUAAACUUUAGAAGUGCAUUGUAUUCAGAGCCAAGAAAGAAUUUUAGAUGGGAGACUAACUUUCAAGGCAAGGUUGCUUCCUACUAAUUUAAUUUUAUUUAUAAUGCAGGAAUAUCAACGUUUGUCAAUCACAAAUAUAACUGCUUGGUGCUACGUUCUGUGGAGGUUGUGUACAAGAAGUUAUGCCUGCAAAGUUUUUCAUUUAGACAUAAUGGAAAAAAAGGAAAAGAAUAUUUAUAGUUUUACAAAGGAAAAAAAAAAAAACAGAAAACUUGUCCCAGGUGUUUACAAGAUCCUUAACUAAAGAAGAGAUGCAUGAAACAGAAUUAAGAUGUUCCUACUGAAAAGCCACCACUAAAAUUUCAUUUUUUCCAGUGAUCUGGCAUUCGCCUUCCUGCUCCAAGCUUAACAGGACCCUCAGCAAUUCCUGUGCCCCAUGAGCCAACGUCCCAGUGAGACAUCGCUGAUCAGCAGUGCCCCAAACUAUCCUGCUACUCUCAGUCACCUCCCAUGACCCAAAUUUCUUGCAGCAUUAAUAGAAGAUCCUAACAGAAUUGGUUAAUAUACAUCUAGCUUCUGUUUCUUAAAAGGAUAGAGAGUACAGAGAGAUAAAAGUUCAUCUGGCUCAGUGGAGAACCAUUCCCACGCCAACUCUGCCUGCUGGGCAGCUCCCUUGCCCACCCAGGGCUGCCAGCUGCAGCCCAUAAACUGUGUUUCAAGGGAGAGUGAUUUUACUUGGAAAGCUGAGCCAACACUCAGGAGAAUGGACCUGUGAUUCGUGUCGCAGCAGAAGCAACGGUGAUGAACAGCUUACACAGCAGUGCUGAGCACCCACAACUCCUCCUAGAGUCAGUAAAAACUUUGAGUGAAAGGGAUUUCUCAAUCCCCUUUCCCUCUUUACUUUUUUUUUCUUUUGAAACAUCAGAUUAUCAAAUUUGGUGCCCAACCCUGGGCAGUUAUGUGCAUUUUAAACCUGACCUUUUUUUUCUUGCUCUUUUUUGCUAUUUUAAUUAAAGCAAUCAUGAGAUGUUAGCCCCAACUUUAACCUACCAAUCUACCUGGGAAUCAUAAGAAGGGGGUGGGGGUGGGUGGGUGGAAUAGUUCAUCUGAUUUUGCUUUCAGUUUUGCGCUGGCCGUCCUUUUCUAAAAGACUGUGUGCUGAAGAUGUCAGGAGAUGAAAAUACAGGCUCAGAAUGACUCCACUGGGCUCACAGGGAUCGCCGUGCCCAGUAUUCUAGCAAAGAACCUGUGAAAUCUAAAGCUCACAUUUCUCAGGAUCUGAACGAGACUAAUUUCAGUACUUCUUUAAACAAUUCAAAGCAACAGAAACAGUCUAUGUUUCUUUCUUUUGUAUGUAGCAAGUAAUUUUUAUUAGCGUUUCAUAAAUCUUUGCUUUUUUGUUUGUUUCUUUACUACAAUUUUGUAACCUAAAAAUGCUAAGUGAGUGGUCUGGGAAAGAAAAUUAAAAUCAAAGGUACUAGGUAAAGAAUGCUGGACAAAAAGUUAUUUAGGAAAAGUGUUUUAUUGACUUUUCAAAGUAUAGGGACCCAGAGAAAAAGCCCUCAGGCCAAAGCCAAGAGAACAUCCAAUUACAUGCUCCAGAUAAUUUAAACUCUUGAUUUAGACACAGAAAUCCACGGGCCAGGAAAUUUAGCAGACCUGUAAACGUUUCUGAUAUCUAAUAAAAAGAAUGAUGUAUGUAGUGGCAACUAAACAUCUUACAAUAGCAAGUACAACUCCCACUUGGAAGUGGGAGGUCAGAAAAGCUAUGUGAGCAGGAAAAUGAGUAUCAGUUUGUAUACAGACAUACACGCAGACAGAGCACUGUGGAAGUAGCAUGUAUAAUGUCUCCUGUGAGGACAGAUGGAAAAGCUGACACAGAAAGACACAGAAUGUGCAAAUGUGGGUAAGAUUUUAUUCUUUAAAGGUCUAUAAUUUUCCAGCAUUUGGUUGAAACAGUGAUGAAUUUAUGACCACUUGACCUGGUAAAAUUAACUGCUUUUUCCUUUUUAACUAAGGGAAUGUAUCAGAAUUUUUUCAGUGUGUAGAUUAAGACACUUGCAGAGUUUACUGAGCAUCCCUACAGCCACACAAACGUGAUUAUAUGAACGAAGCAAAAAAAGACAAAAAGUGCUGGUAAGCGUUCACCUCCACACCCAAAUUCAUCAAUGCCUUCAGUAGGAAGUAAGCCCAUAGUUUAAAUUAAGACGAUGUUCUGAAUGAGGAGUGCUACAAAGGUUGUGGUAUAAGCAUGGGACAGAUCCCUAAUAUCACCCCAGCAACAAAUACAAAUGGGUAUCAGGGACUGACAGGGCUGAAUUCAGCAUUCAGCUCUGCUGGUUAGGGAAGGCAUGUGAGCCUUUCCUCUGCCUGCUGCUUGGUGCACGUAGACCAGUUCCAGCGUGGAAUUGCCUGGCUUUCUGUGGGCUCAUCUGCACCAGAUGUGAAUGCUUGGAUAAACUGAACUACAGUCAAAACCCGUCAUGAUCUACAGGACCCACUGGCAAACUUCAAUAAUUUGUCUAUUUUUAUAACACUUUGUGAUGCAAACUGAAAAUUUCAAGGUAAUUUCAUUCAAAUUGAAAUUAUAACAGUUUGUAAUGGUGCCCAACAUCAGCACAGCAAUUGAGACCAUUACACCUGAAGCCUUGAGAAAGCUGCAGCUACUCAGUUUGGACUUUCAAGAUUAGCUUCACACCCAGAAAGUCUGAAAAAUCUAUUAAAAAGUAAAACUCUAUCUUUGGGUUCCCGUUUUGUACAGAAUGGGUUUGUAACAAAUUCCAUGGUAAAGAAUGGAUGACGCUCUGCCCAGUGUAACAUAGAAGGUAUAGAAGAAAAUUGAAUUAAAGGCUGUCCUUUCAUUUUGGCAGAUGCCUGGGGUAGAUAACUGCCCCAAGGGAAUAUGGUUCUCUAAUGAAUGAGAACAGAAAUGGAACUAUUAUGAAAGCAUUCUCCAAAGAGCUCAAGAAACAACAGUAGGAUCCCUAACACCUCUUACACCAGCUGACAUCCCCUCAGCCUUCUCAUGGGUGACUGGGAAUCAGGCUGCAGUGAAGGAGAUGGCUGUGCAGAGGUGAGGGGCUGAUGGCUGAGCGUGAUCCCAGUGCUCAUGGGGAACUUCUCAAAUGAGACCAAUUGCAGUCUGUUUGACCACACCGUUCCCCCCGUGAGCAUGGGUCUACAUUACGUGAGGAAUGUAGGCCUCUUGCCAGAGCAUCUGCUCUCCAGCCAGGAGUGCAGGUGCUUUUACUUGUGCAAAGGUAGUACAAUGGCUUAAUAGCCGAGCAUGUUUUGUCUUACAAUUUUAAGGUACUGGCAAUUGCCAAUGAAAGCCAUCUUUUACCACAUCGAUGCUAAUGAGCUUUGGUACUACAUUACCAAAUGUAGCGUUAAUGAUCCUGCUUAUGCAGCUAGCUGUAUUCAGGGAUUUGUCUGUCUUGCUUUGCUGUGCCCUGUAGUCAUGUUCUAUUUGGCUAUGAGUCAUUAGUCGGCUAGAUGGUUAAACACCCAUUUCAGUAUAAGUCAGCUUCAGUUUGGAUUUGAGUGGCUAAACUAUGGGAGGGUUCCUUUUGUCUUGUGUGUGAAUUUUCUUCCUCUGUCCCUAGGGGACAAAACUGAGAGGUCAGUUUUGGUGGUUACCCAUCAGUCAGCUUGGAGUUUUGCUUGGUCUUCAUCUGUUAGUUUGGCAGAGAUUUUGAACUAUCAUAAAGUAAAUAAAAUGCAUUUCAACUCACCACCUCUCUAGGAAGUGGAAGAAAAAUUAUUUGAGCACUUCAACACAACAAAAUUGUAGUUAAAUGGGCUUAGUCUCUAGUAGUAACUUUGUCCAACAAUAUGUUUUUGUGUGUUCCUGUCCAGGCUAUGUAUACUGCUGACACAACAGCUUAUGAUGACAUGCUAAUAUACUAGUGGUCUAAAAGAGGGGUUUGGGGACAGCUGUAGGUCCAGCAAAGCUCUGAUGCUUUGUGCACAUGCACCAGACAAUGGUACUGUCAGCUGGGAAGCCUAAAAUUGCACAAGAAGUGUUUGGUUACUUCUAGCAUAUUUUUUUUUCUCUCUCCCCCCAGAUAGUUCCUAAUUCUCUGCCUCUUCUGGAACAGUUUCAGCGUCCUGCCUCUAAACUGCAAUGGUCCCCAGUGUUACGGGCAAGGCUCAUCACAGUUAGUUUUCUUGCCAUCAUGCAACUGCUUACGUCAAGCUCCAGGAAACUGGUCUCUGCCUCCACAGCCCAAAUAUUCCCAUCUUAAAGAUGUGUUCAGUCUCCGUAGCCUAAAUGCUGGCUGUUUGAUACACAAGUCUCACUACAACCUUGCAGUUGCUUCAGAAUUUCAAUCUAGAUUGCAUAUUUUGGGGUGCCUUGAAAGUUUUCUCUCCGUCUUCCAACUUGACCAAAAAUCCUGAGAUUUAGAGAUGACAAGAUCAAAGAGAUUAGCUCAGCCUUCUAUAAAGUUAUUUAAAUCUGAUUGUUCAGCAAGCCUGUGACAUGACUAUGUCACCCUGAUUAUCUUCCUAGUCUUAAACAGAUUUCACCAGGGGGAUACUGUUUGACUUCAGGUAGACUAGCAAGCUUAAUGAAAAUUUAUGUUUCUUUUCAAAAGAUAACCUACUUAAUUUCAAAGGAAUUUCCAAAUUCACCCAUUUAACCCCCUAUUGUUAAAGAUAAAUAAAAAAUUAAAUUCCUAGCUUUGUUCCUGCCAACCACAGAAAGAAGGAAAUGUUCACUUCCACCUUGUCUGUGACUUAAGAAAUGUGUAUGUGUUCCAGAAAGAGAACACAGUUCAAAUCUUUUAAUGGUUUAAGGCUGGAUAUUUUAUGGUGUUGUUUUUUGUUGGUGGUGGUGGUCUUUUGAACAGGGACAAGAACUGAGACAGGAAAUCACAGCAAAUAAUGGUUGUAGAUGUACAUGAACAGUUGCAUUAACUACAAAUUACAGUAAUGUAGUUAUUUUCAUUUGCAGAACUAAAAUGGCAGGCAAGUGGCCAGAGCUGUAUUUUGCUCUUCCUCUGACACCACCAGGAAGAGUCUGAGUUGCAUCAGAAGAUCUAGCUCACAAGGCACGCUUUCAACUGUAUAAAUGAAAUCAAGCAUAAUAUAAGCACUUCGGUGUUUAACUGUGUUUGGAACUAAUGGACUUCUUUUCAUUUCCUGGUAAAUGGCAGCCUACAAGAACUAUAUGGUAUCACAGGAUGUGGGUGUCUUAAUUUUAUCUCCUUUUUGCAGUGUGCUGGUCUCUAUUUAGCAAACCAGCUCUCAGCUUGCAUUUUAAGCAAGCGCCUUCCCGUUCCCGUGGCAAGGCUGCUUGUCAACCCACAAAUGAGUAAACUUCCUCACUGAGGUAAGUAAGGUGAAUAGCAGCAAUAUACAAAAAUAUUAACACUUCAGCCUACAUCGUUUGAAAACACAGAAUCCUACAAAACUAAACUACCAGAAAGUGCAAUUGUCCUAAUGACUCAUCUUUCAUUUUUAGCUACAAAGCAGUACAUAAGCAGCCUCUCCAAUGACAAGCCUCAUGGUACAUCACAGUACGAGACAGUCAUCAUCUAACAAAUAAGAUGGUUUGUGCUUUAACUUCUAUGAGCAUAACACUCUACUCAGAAAAUCCCAAGACUGUCCUGGACUAGGGAUAUUUGAGUUGCCCAGUACAAACACCUGAUGUACUUUUUUCUCUCAUAGUUUUGCUAUUGCUUCUGCAAGUUGGUACAUCAGAUAACACACCUAGCCAUGACAGACCACCUCCACACCAUCGCCAGCACACACUGCCAACAGGGAUAAAGAGCUGCACCUCCUUACAGAAGGCCACUGAAGUAAUAAGUAGGCCUGUAAAAACUAGAUAUAGGGAAAUCACUUAAGAAAACGCAUACAACCCACUAGCAAAUAUUAAAAUGUAUUUGAUAUGUGAUUCUUUUCAACUAUAUACCACCUCUAAAAGUGACACUGAAAUAUUCACCUCAAUCUACUUGCUUUUCCUAGCUGGCUACGAAUGCAGUUAAUCAUUGCCAAGAGAUGGUUCUUCCAGUCAAAGGCUUACAGACAGGUUUUAGGAUUGCUGUACCAUUUACAGUACACGCUAUUGCCUGAAAUACCUAUUCACAUUUGUGGGUUUGUUCCCUCUCCAGAAACACCUUGUGAGACCUGAUUUUGAGAAAAUUCAUUUCUGUCAAAAGUAAAUAUACCAGUUCAAUAGUAUUUCUAAAAUGAACGUAUUAUAUUUUCCUUCAUCUAAUCAGCUUCCAGUCAGCACAAACUAUGACAGCACUGCUAAAUAGCCUGUUAUCCAGUAUCCAUCCCAGGUGUCUGGUCAUAUAAUCACUUUUCCCCAUUGUAUUGUUCCUUAAAUCUUUACAGGAAACUUUUAUCAGUGGGACAGCUGUUUGAGAAAGAGAUUGGCGUUUGAAUAUUACAUGAAUGCUUUUUACUAUCACUAUUUUCUUUCCACCUCUGACUGGAAAUAACCUCAAUGAAAUGAAAUUAGCUAAUUUUUCAUUAUUCACUCUUUCCACAACUUCCUUUGCGUACGUGUGCUGGGACUGGCUGGGACGGAGCUACCUUUCCCCACAGCAGCCCAUACGGUGCUGUGCUUUGCACUUGUGGCCAGAACAGCAUUGAUGUCACACCCAUGUUCCGGCUGCUGCUGAGCAGUGCUGGCACAGCAUCAAGGCUCCCUCUCCAAUUCCACCCCCUAGCCCCCAGAGGCCAGUAGGCUGGGGGUGGGCAGGAGGUGAGGAGUGGACAUGGUCAGGACAGCUGCCCUAAACUGACCAGAAGGAUAUCCCCUACUGUAUGAUGCCACACUUGAAAAUAUAUCUGGGGGAGAAGGGGGGACACUCAUUAUCAGGGGGACACUCAUUAUCAAGGUGUUUCAGAGCAACUGUGAUGCGCAUUGAGGUCCUUGCUUCCCAAGAAGCUGCAGAACAUCACUUGCUAAUGGGAAGUAGAGACUUUUUUUUUCCUCCUUUUGCUACCAUACAGCCUUUGCUUUUUUUCCUUUCAUUAAACUGCUCCUCAUCUCAAACCAGGAGCUUUUCUUUUUUCAUUGUAUUUUCUCCCCCUGUCCUUCUGAGGAGAGGGAGAGAGAGAGCAACUUGGUGGUACUUAGCUGCCCAUCAGUUGUUAAACCACCACUGUACAACAAGCUGGACUAAAGAUUUUUAAUAGAAUCAAUCUGUGUUUUUUUUUUUUUCUUUUUUUUUUUUUCUUCCGUGCCAUACUACAUUUCAAGUAUUCUUUAACUAACUACUGAAGGUUCAUUGGUCUAAAGUGCAAAGAGCCACCCUCAAAAAGAUGAUUUCUGGAGUACACUGACUACCCCACCAAGCUCCACUCUAACAACUGAUGUUAAUGAUAAGGCAGUUGUUUUUUUGGUUUUAUUUUAAGUUCAUAUUCACAAGCCUCUUCAAGAACUUUUGGGUGAACACCACAUCAUUCAGCUCUGAAGCUAACUUUCUGAAGACAACAUGCACAAGCUUUAUAUGGAGAUCUUUCCUAAAAGAAAAUCUAGCAUCAAAAAAAGGCAAUAGUCUAUCCCUAUACCAACAAAUCCAAAAAUGCUUCCAAGAUUGCAGGUCCAGAUCAAGCAUACCAGAGAGCAAAGGGUCCAUCUGCCAUGCCAUGGCUGCUACAUGAGGAAGCCUAAACCUGCAGGAAGGAAGGGAGCAGUGCCAUGUGCCUGGAUGUCCCCCAACAGUCACAGGGCCAGGCUGCAAUGAGAAGCUUUGAGCAUUUUUUACCUGCAGAAGAGAUCCACAGAUGUUUACACCUAGGUAUUUCACAUCAUAUUUCCUAUCUACCUUAUCAUUUUAAGGAUUCUUUUUUAAUUUAAUAGUUUGAAUUAUUACUGAGUUUUUGGAAAAAAAUCUGUAGCAAUAAAAAUGCUUUCUUUAAUUUUAGAAAAGAAAACAACUGUUUCUCUCUGCUUAACAGAUUUAUAAAUAUUAGAAAACAGAAAAAAAAAGUUGAUUUCAAUGAAUUUGCCUGAUAAGCAGAUUGUAAGUGCCAUUUAAAAGAAGGAUAUAUUUAUAUAAAGAAAUACAGAAAGUUCAUUCUGAUUAAUUAUUAGCCUGCUGACAGUACAGAGCUAAUGCAACAGACCUGGAUGUGUCCUUGUGAGCCAACAAAGCGGCAGGAUAUGGAUUUUGCAGAAUAUGAACAACCCUUGUAUCUCAAGAGAAUCCUCAAAAUUCCCCCAGAUCUGCGGAAUCUGUAUGGUAUGAUGUUCAAAUCUUUUUCAUUCUACUUUUUUUUCCUGUACUGUGCAGAGAACUCCUGUCCUAGUUGAGAAAUUCUAAGGAAUCUUUUUUACUUCCUCUAUUUUCCUCAUAGCAAGGCUUCAUAUGCAAAGAAGGCAUGAGCUUGGCUGGUGCUUACCAAUUCAAUCACAUUAAUAAAUGUAUCAAAAGCAAUAUCAAAAACAUGCACUAGUAAGUCUGUAAACACUGGACAUUUAAAUCAUAUUAAAUGUAAUGCUUUUUAGGCAAAGAAUCAUCAAAGAACUGAAAUUCUCAAAGUGUUUCAGUUUUUAUAACAGCAGGUAUAUGAAAAGCACCUUAUUAAAAACACAAUAAGCGGAGAGACCAAGCUAGGAACUAUUUGCAGUCAAACCGAUUUCUUCUUCAGCAACUGCACUGUGAAGCUUCUAAGUGGAAUGUGCAGACAAGAAACCAACAUCCAACACUUCAAAUACUCAGCAUCAGGUGCUGUCAGUCAUUCCCAGUAUUCUUCAUUAUGAGUGAAAUCUCCUGUCUCAGUAUGAGAAGAAGUCACACAGAUUUGGUUUUGAGUUUGUUUUUGAGCAAAAGCUUUGAAGCACUUUUUGUUCUGAAACAUAUCAUUACAAUGAAUUUUGUGACAGAUCAUUUCCCUAACGAUCACGUUUCCUGUAGUGAGACUUCUCAUCUGUCUGUAAACUGCACCAACACUGCAACCACGUGCACACAGUAACAACUCCCACCUCCAGUGAAAAUGCCAUUAUGUGCACACAGACUGACAUGCGGACAGGACUCAAAGAGAUGUGUCACUCCAACCUAAAACACAGAUUAGGAGUCUGCUGCACCAGCAUGGCUGAACUGUUUUGAUUUUGCAUUUGUUUUACAAAGAUAUUAGAUAGUAACUUUAAUAGAAAUCCAUAUUGUUAAGACCUAUCAUUAUAGUCCUGACCAUGCUAAUUCCUGUUGGCAUUCACCUCCUGCAGUACCACAGUUAUUCCAGAACAUGAAAUUAAGUGCAGCUGCUAAAUGGACUGGUGCUGCAAAAUGGCCAGCAUUGUUUGCAUUAUUGUUAUUUCCCUGCUCUUAAUUUACUCAUUUCUCUCUAACUUGCUUGUGCUCCAGAACACAUAAAAGUUACCACUCUUUGAUCUUACCCAACUGUCCAAGCAGCACAUUAUUUUGUGCUUCAAUUUAAUGCCCCUGCCUGAAAGUAGGCAGAAAUUUUCCAUUGAAGCUGACAGCAAUGUUCUCUCAGGAAGAGGGAUUUACCCUCACAUCAUUCCCCACUAGCCCUUGGUGAUUUUCAGGCUACAUUCUUGUAUCCAUUUUUAAUUUACAAAUGCUCUUCUUGUGUCCUCAUUUCCCCUCCUCUUUUUUGCUUUUUCUUACUCUGCAAAAGUUACAGAGUAUUUCUUUUUGUCCAGCAACUUCCCAGGUGACAUUGUGGACGUCAGCUCUCUGGAGCUGCUUCCAUUUAACCUGGGAAUAACUACUUUGCUUAACUAAUGUGUUUUGAGCUCUAUGUAACAGCAAGAUAUUUAAGAAGGUUCACUGAAGUCCAUUUCUGAAGCAGAAAUAUUUUAUAUCAACUCCACAAGGUGACAAUUUGUGAGGAUGAACAGGUGUCCCAAGGCUCUUUCUUUUGCAUUUCCUCUAAUAAUUACUGUUUAGCACAACUUAGUACAAUAAACUUGCAGUCUGCUUUCUGCAAAUACAUAUAAUACCUUCUGACACAAGCAUUUCACAAGCUAAUAAUGUAAAGAAAAAUUUUCCGUGAUUCAUGAUUGUCUUAAAGAAAUUAAUUCAAUUUCUUUGUCUCACCUAUGAGAUUAAAAUGACAAUCAAUGACAUUGUUUCACUCAAAACCACUUGUAUACAUAGGAAACACUUGAGGCUGAGGUACAUUCCUAAACACAUAAAUCUGUUCUGAACCCUUCAGCAUUUAGGAAGAGUUACUGUGUUUCUACUUACUUAUGUGUAAAACUACACACUAUAAGGAACUAUCAGCCCAUUAAAAGUUUGGGAAUACUGAGUGACUGCUGUAUGAAUAUAUAUAAGGGAUCAAACCUUGUGCAUUUAGCCUGACACUGAAGUAUUUUACCUUCACUCUAAAGAACCCCACUGAAAUUGUCUCUUAAAUUUAAGGUAGUGAAUAACCCUUUGCUUUCUCAAAGGCACAGAACUUAAAUAAGUAAAAUUGCCAAAGUCUUAGUAAUAUUUAUCUUAAAGACAAGCUGUUUUUUCCUCAGUUAGCCUCUCAUACACAUCGUUUGAAUGCUUCUCCAGGUAAGAAUUUGCAGAAGGGAGACUGUAAUCAUUACAACAAUUAUUAAUAUGAAAGAAAUGCCUUCCUGACUGGAAAAAGGAUGCAUUUUUCUUAACUAGAUAUUGCUUCUUCCCCUUUGCAUUCAUUCUGCACAUAUGCUUACUCCAUAGAGAAGAGAGACAUUCUCAGCAACUUCUUCGAGCAAGAAUUCCUCCCCCUCCCCUGUAAGAAUUGUCUUUAAGUGGAAGAACGAUAGUAUUCUGCCUACACUUCCUGGAAACUAAGCAUAGGUCUGUGUGUCUGCGUUUAUCAAAAUAUCCAUCAAAGGUCAGGUAAUUUUCCAUACUCAUAGAGAGACAAAGAUGCUACCUAUCUUGAUGAAUCAGUUCAAGAGCGUUAGUGUUUGUCCCUCAAAAUGAAUCUGAUUUAAUCACUGAGAAAACGAAGGACAUUAUUUCCAUAACUUUAACUGUGCUCAGAAUUACAAUCUUUUCAAAUUCUUCCACUGUGGGCCCAGAUCUUCCCUAGCUCUGAAGUCGGUGACAGGAGACAAGUGACCAAGCAGCAAAUCAGUCAGUAAGUGGGUAACUAGUCGGAAAAGCUAAGAGCUGGAUUUCGGAAAGUAUGAAGUCACUAGGGAGCAACAGGUUCCAAGUGCUACCUUGGAGAAAGAAAAAUAAAUAAAUAAAUAAAAAUGCUUUCUUUGUCCUACCACUAAAAUGUUGGAGCUUAGUCAUUAGAUUUUUAUUCUCUUCAUACUAACAUGUAAAAUAGUGAUUGUGGCCUCAAUACUUAUUUACUCCCUGCAUAUGAAAGAAUUCCACUUAUUUCUUAGGGGGAAAAAAAAAAAACAAACACCUCUAGUGUUUGUUUUGACAUCAGGAUUGCAAUUAUUAGUACAAGGUAUCAAUAUGUCAGCACAUUCAUAGUAAGACAUUUCAAAGGCUUAUAGUUCCAAAACAGAUAAGGGAAUUAGGAGCCUAAGUGAUCCUCAGGAAUUCCAGUAUAUCCAUCAGGAAAGCUUCUGUCAGCUUCAACAAUAACAGUACAAAGAAACUUGACAGAAAUCAGUUUAUGCUGCAAGUAUGUUAACCUGAUCCAGAGAGGCCAAAAUAUUUUUUAAUACUUAAUUCUUAUUUUGGCAUUACAGCAGUAACACAAAAUUUGCUAGAUGUCUUAACUUUGAAAGAAUUGAAAUAGUCAAAAAGAAAAAAAACCACUUAGUUUUUCUUUUUUAUCCUCAAACCUCUCUUACACCUGAGCAAAGAUAACAACUAAUUCUACACAAUAUUUUGCACCUGUAUUCUCUAACAUCUUUCAACUUUGCAAGUGUUGGUACUGAUUAAAUAUAUAAAAACAAAGGCUAAAACACAAAACAUACUAGAGACUGAUUUGAUUUUAAACUGUGGUGGUUUUUCUGAAGCAUCUUCCUGCUACUUCCAUGUCAGUUCUAUGCCCCGCUGAAUGGGAAUAUACUUUACUAUGUUUCAGUCCUUUUUGCAGGAAGCAGGAAUACCUCAAAAUAUUUCAGAUCAUUUGUCAAAUAUGUAACAACAAAUGCCAUUUCCAUUUUGAUAAACAAUAAUAGAAAACAAUACAAAAAUGAUGAAAACAUUAACAAUACACAAGUCAGUUUCAUUGGUCAUAAAUACAAUAGAGAUAAUCAUGCUCCACAGAAAUAAGUAGGAAAAGACAGCCGCCAGCAUGUUGUGCUGGGUCAAGAGGUGCAGGAUUGACAUUACACUACUGCAAAGAACUGGAUGUGUUACCAGACCUCGCUAGAUGUCUUAGCAAAAAAAAAAAAAAAACAACCACCAAACGAUCGUUGAAGAGUAGCUAUGAAAAAAUCUCGAUUUGCUUGUUUUACAACAUUACCAGAAGGAUUUCAACACAGAAAUACACUCUAGAAAGUUUCAGAUAGAUGUGACUUUCACAGGCAUAACGACUAUUUUAUAUGACAGUUCUACGCACACAGGCUGUUUCAGAAGACAUUGUUUGGGAAGCAACGGUAAUUAUUCAAGAAUUGGCAAAUGUCCAUUGGUAUUGUCUUAGCCUUAGCUUGUAAAGCCUUGGUUCUUUCCCUUUCCUAAAACCUAUAGACAUCGCUGAGAUCUUUUAGUCUGUGACCACAGAUUGCUCUUUUUGUCCAGCACUGCCUAGAAACACUGCAGAGCGUGCAGUGAAGAUACCUUCUGCCUGCAGAGCUAAUGCUAUGCAUGAGCCAUGGGAACACAAAAAGAAAAGAGGUCUCAUAGCUAAGUAGUAAAAUUUUGUUUUAGGUAAGGAUUAUAUACCAGCUCGCCACAGAAUUCUUAUAUGAUACUACAAAACCUACUUAUGCUAAAUUUUCCAUGCAACAGCCGUUAAUAACUGUUCUGCAUUUAACAGGUUCUUAUUUUCAUUACACCAACCUACUUUACAGAAAUGGUGAGCCUUCAAAACAGCAAAUUAACAGAAAGGAUGCUUUAAAGGAGUAUAGUCCUUGCUAGGUCUCAGAUUGAGCUUUCUCUUUGGAUCAUUUUAUCAUCCUGAACAUCGAAAUCCAUUUUUGUACAGCACUGAGACACAGAUGACGAACACCAUUGAAAAUCUCAAGAGGAAACUAAUAUUUCUAGCUGCAGAAAAGGUUUUGAAUAGUGAGUCAAUAAAUAUGGCCUGAACUAUGAAUUGAACAACACAGACAAAUAUGUUGUCUGAAUAUAUUUUCAUUCUCUACACAGAGAAGGGAAUCCUGUAGGGGGAAAAUUGUGUGACUGUAAAAACUGCCAUAAGACAUACAGAGAAGGCUGAGUCCUGAAAACUGUGAGUGCUUGGCUUUACAACUUUAACGUCACUCUGUAUGCGUGAAUUUUUAUUUUUAAAAACAUCCUCCACCCACCAAAAACAAAACAGAACACACGCUCAAAAAAAAAAAAAACACGCUAUGAGAGGGCACAGUAGUACUCCUCCCAGGCUUUAUCAGCAAGGUUGAGACUUGUAUAUAUCUCCUUGCUCAGGUCUGCCUCUGGAGUUAGGGGAGUACUGAUAGCAUUAGUAUGUUUUCAUCUUCUAUGCAGGACAGUGCUAGAAGACUUUCAUCAAUGAGGUAUUUGCUGACAGCAAAAGAGUGGUGAAACUCAGACUUUCGCUGAGUACAACAUAGAGACAAACAAUUUUUCUUACUUCCUUACUUCUAGUCCUGUAUAUCUUUUCUGGCCUGUCUUUGCUCAAGUCAUGUUUUCUAUCAAAACAGAGCUAUCUUGUUUUCUCAUCUAGUUAGACCCAAUUCCUUAGGCUUCUGAUUCCUACCACAGACCCAUCUUUUCCCAUACCCUGUCUAGGCUUGGCUAUCAGUUUUUCAGGUCUUUCCCCUGCUCCUUCCAGCUGCUCUGUUCCCUGCUGCAAUCUCAGUCUCAGCAUCCAACCUCUUCUCUUAAACCAGUUUCAUCACUUAGCUUCAUAUCUCAUUAGAACUGCUUUCUGAACAUUAUAUGCUUAUAACUACAGGAAAAAAAAACUCUAAAAAGAAGAUAAUUACAUCCACUAACACCAUGAAGAUCUGAUAUCAACCAUAACAUAGAAGAUUUAUCACUCUGUCAAUCACUGCAGAGCUUUUCAAAGGCUGCCAUUAAGAUUUUAAGUGAUUUUUAAACAGGAUGCAGGGCUGUGUACCUGUUUCCUGCUACCUAUGUUGCACAUUGUCACAAGGAUAACCUGACAUAACAGAUAGAGCUCAGAUUUUACAGAAAGACAGCAUUAUUAAACACAUAUUACAUCAGUUUCAUUUGAAAGUCUACUGACAGCCAUAUCUUAUGAUCAGCUAUUUUAAUAGCAACCCCAGCCAUUCCAAGCCCUCAGCAUUUCACAACAAAAUCUUUUUACUCAAACUUGCAGCGAUCUAGAACCUGAAAGUCUAGAACCCUGAGGAAUUUGAACUCACAACCAAUUUCACACACACAAACCACCUCUGUGGAGCUCAAUAAGUAUUUCAAAACUAUUCUAUACCGCACUACGGAUCCAGGCCAAACUUGAAUUAAUUAGAGGCAAUUCCAGAGCUCAUGUCUACAAAGUUCACGACGUGAUAUCCAAGAAAUACAAUGCCAUUCUCUGCACCCCUGAAAGCAACCUCUGUAUUUCUUCUUCCUUAGUUUUUUUCAAGAGAAAAAAAUUGUCAUUUUUUUUUCUAAUCUAAAUAAGUUUAAGGGCAAUGACAACUCAGAAUACAUUUAACUAUUGUUGUUACUGUUUAUGAGCACUCAGAUAUAAGAAUGCUGACCAUAAUGUAAAAAAUUUUGAAACUGAACAGAACAUGAAAUGUGGUCCCUCUUUUUCACAUGCAGAUGCUAUUCACAUUAGAUACUAUAUCUACAGAGGAUGAGCUGUUACAAGAAUUGAGUAUCAGAGGGGUGAAAUUAUACGCUCUCCCAAACAAAAGUGUGAGUGUGUGUUUGUAACACAUCAUCCACACAUUCUGUUGUUUAUUUUCCGUAUUUCACUCACUGGUUAGAGAACACAAUUUGUUAAUGAAAGGAUUAAACAGUUGGAGAAAAUAAUCAUUACAAACAAAUAUAGUGCCUUCAUAUGUGAACCGAUUUUAUUAUUUCUAUCUAGCAAGAAAAGAGCUUUAGAGCAGCAGAAGUUUUUACCUUUGGCUAUUUUAUCAUUAAGAAUAAUCUGCCAUAAAAAAGCUGCAUCGGUUGUCGUCAUGUAAAGAAGUUGUAAGAGCAAAGUGUGAGAAUUACAAUACAUGGAUCUGCGCAGGAGAGUUUUUUUUGGAUCCAGGGAAUAAUUUAUUCAGUUAUGUGUUCCUCUGUAUAAGGUGUUGUAUGUUCCUUUCUCAGAAAAAGAAAUAACAUGGGAUUGGGCAAGGUGUUUGGUUGGGCACAUGUGCUACUAUUGCUUUUUCCCCUCAUCUGUCUUUCCUCUGUACCAUUCCUUUUUAAGAAACGUCCAUGCUGUCCAGAAUCAGAUCAAACUCUUUGUGGACAAGGCCGUCUUUCAUCCUCUGUUAGUACAGCACCUGGCCCAAGAGGAAUGCUUGAUCAUGCCUGAGGUCAUUAGCCCUACUAUACACACAGGUCAGACUGUCUCACACACACACACAAGCAGCUCCCUCCUGACUUUUCAAGUGUUCAGUAUUCACAGCUGCAGCAAAACUCUCAGAAAAGACUAACUUGCAGCUGCACUCUCAAAUUUUUCACUUUAUCUCAGUGACCAACAUGUAGAGGUCUUCUGAAAAUCUGAAGAUUUUCUACUAUGAAAAAACUGCUCUCAAGUGUUUUGGAACUGACAGUGAAAACCAGGGGUAUCUCCUCCAGGCAGUUUUCUCAGGGAAGCAAACAGGAAAGCAGCACUUAAAGUUUAAGGACUUCAGGUAGGUUUAAAAUAUAUAUAUAUAUUUUUUUCUUAUUUUAAUAUAAAGCCAAAGAAAAUUCAAAAAAAGACAGUAUAAACCACAAAGAUAAAAUAAACCCUGUAACACUUUUAAAAGUUUCAAAGGCUUGCCUUUGCAGACUUUCCACUGACGUCACCACUGAGGCAAAACUUAGGUAAGCAGCAGUUCUGUUGCGAAGAGAAACCAAGAGCAUCGACUGCAGAGAGAGCAGCUGAAAAUGGCGUAUCUGACAUGCGCGCUACUUUUAAAAUGUCCUCAUUGCUCAGUGGAGAGUGUUUUUUAGAAGCUGUGGUUUGCAGGCAAUCUUUCCCUUGCCAUUUAAGGCACACUCCUGCAAUGAUAAUACACUUGUUGACAUCUCGAGCAGAAUUACUCACACAUAAACAGCUCUCUUUCCAACAUUAAAACACAAACUAAACACAGUUACUUACAGAUCUCACGUUCAUUUGCUUGAACUGCAUCCCUCAUAUUCAGCACAAUUCCACUGCAAAGCUUCUGAACUCAGAGCUAUUUUGUCAUUCUGCUCUCUAAGUAUAUAUCAGCUCAAGUGGACCCUAGGUUAAGCACUUAUUAAUUCCUAAUGUUUUCUCAGAGUGAAAAUGAGUGCAUUGUGUGGCUCUUAGAAACGUUUUUCUAUGUCCUUUGAUUAGCAGACUAGAGCUGCAAAACCAGAAAUGCUACUGCCGCACUAUGCCACUGAGUCGCACUAAUGUGUAAUUCUUACUGCUAUUUCACAUCUUUCCCCAAACCUCAACCACAUUUCAUACUCCAGACUAGAACACCAGACUGCAGGUGUGGAGGAUGUAGAAAAGUCUUUCAGUUCUGUUGAGCCAGCACAGUUGAGCACAGAAGCAUUAAUGAAACUGCAAACAAGGCCAAACCGUUUCGUGUACAUAAUGGGCAGACUCAAGUAUCGUAAACUUGAUCUCUCUGCUCGCAUACACAGAUACAUUGUGCAGGCAUACAAAUUCACACACAUGGGAAAUAUUAUUGGGAUGGGGGAGCUUGUCUAUUGCUUACAAGAGACCUAGGGCUAUAUUCUAUCACCGCCAUCAAGAACCAAGUAAGAAAUUUGCAUACCAUUUAAAAAAUAAAUGUUUUAUUAUCAUUUGAAUGCUUCCAAGAGUGAUGAAUAGAGAAAUCCUCCAGAUACUCUAACCAAAACUCAUUAAAACAAAAGAUUUAUCUAAUGCAUGCAUGUGAUUCUGUAUGUGUUUUAAGAUAUUUGAGUUGUAUCUCAGAAGAUAAAUUGAAUUGCAGCAAUAUCGGCCAUCUUUCCUUCUGUUUUGCGAGCAUAUGAUUUUAAAUGGAUUCAGCUUGGCCAGCACUUCUCUAGGAGAGUUGACUUACAUUUAUAAAUGUUACUACUACAACUUCUAAAACACCUAAGUUGCUAGAAAGACUCAGUAUAGUAUUUACCCCUAAGUGGGGAGGAUGCUUUGUAAGGUGAAGCCUUUUGCAACUAUGGUCCAUUUGGCACAUGUUGAUCUCACCUCAUCUGCAGACAAUGGAAGAAAAAGCUGGCAGCUCUGUUUCUGUCUCUCAAGGGCUCACUGACUUCAGUUCUUUCACCCAGCAGUGGUUAAAAUGGAGACUGCAUUGGACAUGAUCGUAUUUUAGAGAAUUUCAGAUUUGCUGACAUUAACCACAGUAUGGGUUGCUCUUAUUUAGCACAAAAGUAUCAACUCCCUGUUAACAACACCUGUGCUUUAGAACGGAGAACAGAUCAGAACUUUAUGCACAAGUCAUUUGUUUCAUGCUUUUCAUUUUCUCUGCUCAGAUACACUAUUCAAAAUAUUCUAAUGCACUCUAAAGUUUAUUCAGAUUAAUUUGGGGUAACUUACAGGCUGCAAGGGACAAGCAUCCCUCCGAAUAUUUAAGGAAUUAUGACUUUGUAUGUUGUAAUAUGAUAACCAUUAGUACCCUCAACUUUAUAGAUGAUGUAACAGAUCUGGAAAAAUGAAGACAACACUUCACACCAUGAGUUUCUGAGACAGCCUUGACUACAAAUGAUUUCUGUCUCUUACAUCUUAUUCUAAAAGCUUGAAUGUGUUCUGCCAUUUAUCUUACUCUUUUCUCCACCUACAUACAUUUUAACUCACAUACACCCAGAAACAGUUCAGGAGAUAACACAUUAAAUAUUCCACUCAUAGCCUCAGCAAUGUAUAUGAUUAGCUGGAAAGGCUUUACUAGCCAUAUGCUUUUGUACCAUCUCAGCUGAGAUUCUGUAUUGUAUUACAUUUCCCUGAGUAUAAAAUCUGUCAGGUUGUAUAUGAAGUAUAAGCUUCAUAUAACAAAAAGCUAUUUGCUUAUGUGCUGUACAGAAAGCAUCUUUGUAUGGCUUCAUUUUUCUAUUAGACACAGCUAGUUUUAUUUUUAUUUUUAUUUUUUUUUCUGUCAGGGAAAAAAAUAUAUUUGCAAAGGCAAUUAAAAAUAUUGCUCCAUGGUGUCCACAUUUUUGCAACAACAAAAAUUAUUCAUGCACAACAAAAUAUACCUCUAGAGCUCUGUGCUGGGCAGUGGGAUUAUGAAUGAAGAACAGACAGGUUGUAACAGAAGUCUUUGAAAGUAGAGAAUUGAAAACUAAGCAAGCAGGCUACCUGAGGAGGCACUGACACAGAGGGUAUAAGUGGAAGAUCUUAUUGUGGAAGUACCGCAAAGCAGCAGCAUAAAAGAACAGAAAAGGAUUGGAUUUUGUUAGCUAUCUGCAGCACUAUGGAUAAUAUAUGCUGGCACGGCUCACAGCUAGGUUCUAAAAUCCUGGCACUGAGGGCCCCAAACUGCUUUAUUUGAAACAGAAGGAAGCCUAGAAAUUGAUAAAAUGCUGUAAAUGUUACCGAAACCGCAUUGAACAUGAUCUGUUUACAAGUGUAUGGAUAGCCUGGGAAUGUAUCAGGACACACAGUGCAGCAGUCUGAGAACAGUAAAGUUGCAGGGGAAAAAAAAAUUUAAAAAAAGGAAAAAAAGAAAAAAGCUUUCACUACUGUUUAGAUUACUUUAAUCUCGAUAUUUACAGGGGGAAGUCAGUUUUGCCACUUUGAGACUUUUUACCAGUGAUUGCACAGAAGGAAUUCAGAGCCUAAUCUUUACCUUGAAGAGAGUAGACAAUUACCUCCCAAAAUGUUUUUUGAUGUUCUGUACUUCAUAAGUUUGCCUAAAAGAAAUAACUGUUUGAUUUCUAGUUAUAUACAAUUAAAGAUGAAUAAACGCAAACAACAGACAACUCCACACAACGCGGAAAGCAGUAGAGCUCAGGGACAACCACUACUUCCCAGGCAGGGUGGGCAGUCCCAACCUCAGCAGCCAGCUCAAGGACACUUCAGUUCUGAGAAGCCCAUGGGCAUCCUGUCCAAUCCUAGCUAAUCCGUUAACGUUCCCAUAAUAUACACCGGUUCUUGCUAUGGUUUGAAAGGCAUUCACAUGCUAGCAAGCCUUGCCCAGCACAUGACACCUUCCUGCAUUGCCUCUUUGCACAGCUGUCUUGGGUGUCAUUGCUGCAGCCACCCCAGUGCACUGCGGUAUUCACCCCCAGGGCCAGCAGCAUGGGAGGAACAGCCACCGCAACUAGGGGGAGUGACAGCAGCAAGACUCGGGGUAUGUGUGUUCUGCAAAAUGCAGGGUAAUACGGAGACACUUGAGCUAAUGCUAAACAAGGUAGUUAAAUGAGUAUGAAGAAAAGUCACACCAACACAGCAGACAACUCAGUGUUGGUUAAUUUGCUCUGCCUGCCUGGUUGGUCAGAUAUAUGCCUGUUAGUAGUAACUCUUAAAAGUAGACCAAGAAUAUAAACAGAGGACAGAAUAUUUUCACGGCCUGCUGUUCUCCUUUGCUUGCUUCCAGAAUGGUACAGAACAUGCCACAAUGCAUCUGCACAGAAAAAGAGAACAGGAUAAUUUUUAUGCGCCAUAUAGAACGCAUUUACAGUUUCAGUGUGGAGGUUGCCUACUUGUUUAACGCAUGCACACACUCUCAGGGAGGCAGACAGCUUUGCAGAUAGGCGACUGAAGUCAGACAAACAUAACUUGAUUCCUAAUACAAGAAGUAUUUUGAAAAGUCACUUCAUCCUGUUUCCUCCCAUUGAUUCUUCUGCCUCGUUAUAUACAUGAUUUUUCUAACCCAUUCACUAUUGAUAUGUUAUUCAGAAUCAAAACAUAUAAACUUAUGUUCACCAAAGAAAAACUAAAACUAGAAGAAAUGGUUCCAAUACACCCUGCCACUGACAGCAGGAUUUUCUCUAGAACGAGUCUCUGCAUGGCAGCUUUGUGGCUUUAGGUUUACAGUGGUAAAACAUUCUCUGUAUGUCAAUACACUGAUGUGAGUGAAUACAAAAUGACUAGCAAACAUCAUUUGCAUACUAUGUAAGAAAGACCCAUUAGCUUUGAACCGAUAUCUCUUGCCCUAAAUGCAGUUAUCAAUCAAUAUCCCACAACAACGCAGCCAUCAGCUUAUUCUGUUUGUGUAGGACCAGGUGAACAGGUGAAGAAAAAUUACACAUUUGGUCAAAGUCUGUAGCUAAUUCUUGCUCAGAAACCAUGUAGCCAUGCUGGUGUGGUACUGUGCUCAGAUUAAUAUGAGCAUCCUGCUUAGGUACUCCACCAUAAUCAAACUGAAUGGUUUCCAACUUAGAGCUGGCUUGCAUCUCAGACAGCCCAGGAAGUGAGCAGGACUGCCUGCAGCCCCAUGCAGACAUCAACUCUUGAUCUUGAAGUAAGUAUUUGAAGUAUGCAAGAUGUGAAAAGCAGGUAAUUUGUUUCAAGUUAUUAACAGGUCCCUGUCCACAGGACUCUGAGAUAUGUAUUUCAGAAAGCCUCAAGUUCACCACUGAAAUAAAGAAUACGAUACAGUCCUAAAGGAAACGUGCAGUGGGGUGCCUGUAAGAGGAAAACCUCAGAGCGGGUGUUCUGGAGACACCGGACUUCACUUGCUUUUACCCUAAUGCCUAUCCUCCUGCCUGCGCAAUUCCCGUUAUCCUUUACUGUACACAGAAAAUGAGCCAAUAUUACAAAGUUCUGCCACUUAAAAAUUAGAUCUGCCAGACACUUUCCAAAGGAAUAGACCUCUUCACAGAAAGUCAGAACCAUAGCAGGAUCUAUACAGAAGCUGAUGACUGUGCAAAGAAAACAUAACACUUCUAGGUGGAAACCUCCACAGCUGUUGGGAAAAGAGACUCCAUGGCCUCAGAUUUCUGCAUGCCUGCUGAAGCUCAAUACUUUUUACUUGGAGAAUAAAAAAGUCACACCGAAAACUACCAAGCAAUUUUUUUAACUUCCUGAAAUAAAGGAAGUGGCACGGCAGUAGGGGAAGCUUUUUGAAAGCUGUCAAAUUGCUAAUACUUUUGUGGGGGAGAAACCUAAAUAAAGAAGCUAACGGGAAAAAAAGUGCUAGUCCUGCAAGCAUUUAUUUUGCUUUCUUUAUUAUUAUUAUUAUUUAAGGGGAGUAAAGGAUUUUUUUUAUUGUUGUUUUGAUUGUUUUGUUCUGCUGUUGUUGCAAAGACAACAUUGUUGUUGCAUUGCAUCAGUUAUGUUAGCAUUACUUUUUUGAAAAGCAAGUCAGCCUAGAUAUUUGAAAGUAUUAUAUUAUCAAUUUCACACUGAAGAUUUCAAAGAAGUAUGCAGCUGUCUACUAAAGAUUUUCAGAAAGCUAGCUAUUCCAAGCAGGUGAGGAUGAAAGACUAAUAAAUAGUGCACAAAGCACUGAUGAGUUUAGUGGGAUACUUCAGCAAUGCAAAUGCUUACAAUGCUCUUGGAGUAAAAUACUAAUACGAAAACAAGUCCCGAAGCACACCCAACUCUUACUAAUAGGUGCCUGAAAAUUGUUCUUGCCAUAAAACCAAAGCCUACGCCAACAUUUCCUAACAUUUAUCCUCCAAUAACAAAUUCCUUCAGAGAAGACUGCACAGUAGUCCCUAGCCACCAGGCAGAGUAAUCUGUGCAGCAAAGAUGAGAUAUAAUUGUUCUGUCACUCUGAUGGAAGAAUCAACCUCUCUGAGACACCUGCUCCUACCCUUCCCACUCUGACCAUUAUUUAUAUAAAGGGGUCCUACAUCAAAAUUCAAUGAAAAGAGGAAGUUAUGUAGAUGGGUCAUAAAUGUAAAGUGUAAUAUCAGACAGAAGGAGAGGAGCUCUGUGUUCUCACAAGUGCAUGUGCCAAACUACACGGUGAAAACAAGGUCUAUGAGGUUGAGUACUUGACACUGUGGCAUCAGACUGUUAAUUGCUUUAAGUGUCCUAAUGAAGAAUUAAAACAUCGUUUCUUUGAUGCUCUUCGAUUAGUU